GAUUGGUUACCUUGUUACGACUUCACCCCAGUCACGAACCCUGCCGUGGUAAUCGCCCUCCUUGCGGUUAGGCUAACUACUUCUGGCAGAACCCGCUCCCAUGGUGUGACGGGCGGUGUGUGCAAGACCCGGGAACGUAUUCACCGCGGCAAGCUGAUCCGCGAUUACUAGCGAUUCCGACUUCACGCAGUCGAGUUGCAGACUACGAUCCGGACUACGACCGGUUUUCUGGGAUUGGCUCCCCCUCGCGGGUUGGCAGCCCUCUGUACCGGCCAUUGUAUGACGUGUGUAGCCCUACCCAUAAGGGCCAUGAGGACCUGACGUCAUCCCCACCUUCCUCCGGUUUGUCACCGGCAGUCUCAUUAGAGUGCUCUUGCGUAGCAACUAAUGACAAGGGUUGCGCUCGUUGCGGGACUUAACCCAACAUCUCACGACACGAGCUGACGACGGCCAUGCAGCACCUGUGUUCAAGUUCUCUUUCGAGCACUUCCACAUCUCUGCAGAAUUCUUGACAUGUCAAGGGUAGGUAAGGUUUUUCGCGUUGCAUCGAAUUAAACCACAUCAUCCACCGCUUGUGCGGGUCCCCGUCAAUUCCUUUGAGUUUAACCUUGCGGCCGUACUCCCAGGCGGUCAACUUCAC
Molecule: ribosomal RNA, 640 nt
Filed under: uncultured bacterium
Lineage: Bacteria
Description: partial 16S ribosomal RNA
Source: RNAcentral